This 450-nucleotide ribosomal RNA is filed under the name uncultured bacterium. Its description in RNAcentral is "partial 16S ribosomal RNA". It matches the Rfam family "Bacterial small subunit ribosomal RNA", at positions 354 to 796 of the family's 1533-position model. The record is from RNAcentral.
GUGGGGAAUCUUCCGCAAUGGACGAAAGUCUGACGGAGCAACGCCGCGUGAGUGAUGAAGGUCUUCGGAUUGUAAAGCUCUGUUAAUCGGGACGAAAGAGCCUAGUGUGAAUAAUGCUAGGAAGUGACGGUACCGGAAUAGAAAGCCACGGCUAACUACGUGCCAGCAGCCGCGGUAAUACGUAGGUGGCAAGCGUUGUCCGGAAUUAUUGGGCGUAAAGCGCGCGCAGGCGGAUCUGCCAGUCUGUCUUAAAAGUUCGGGGCUUAACCCCGUGAUGGGAUGGAAACUACAGAUCUAGAGUAUCGGAGAGGAAAGUGGAAUUCCUAGUGUAGCGGUGAAAUGCGUAGAUAUUAGGAAGAACACCAGUGGCGAAGGCGACUUUCUGGACGAAAACCGACGCUGAGGCGCGAAAGCCAGGGGAGCGAACGGGAUUAGAAACCCGGGUAGUCC